UACGUAGGGUGCAAGCGUUGUCCGGAAUUAUUGGGCGUAAAGAGCUCGUAGGCGGUCUGUCGCGUCUGCUGUGAAAACUCGGGGCUUAACCCCGGGCCUGCAGUGGGUACGGGCAGACUAGAGUGUGGUAGGGGAGACUGGAAUUCCUGGUGUAGCGGUGAAAUGCGUAGAUAUCGUAAGGAAGACCAGUGGCGAAGGCGGGUCUCUGGACAGUUCCUGACGCUGAGGCACGAAGGUCAGGGGAGCAAACGGG
Molecule: ribosomal RNA, 253 nt
Filed under: uncultured bacterium
Lineage: Bacteria
Description: partial 16S ribosomal RNA
Rfam family: Bacterial small subunit ribosomal RNA
Source: RNAcentral